AGCAGGGUCGCUCAGUGGAAAGAGCACGGGCUUGGAGUCAGAGGUUGUGGGUUACAAUCCCAACUCUGCCA
This 71-nucleotide transfer RNA is filed under the name Ornithorhynchus anatinus (platypus). It matches the Rfam family "tRNA". From Rfam's summary of the family: Transfer RNA (tRNA) molecules are approximately 80 nucleotides in length. Their secondary structure includes four short double-helical elements and three loops (D, anti-codon, and T loops). The record is from Rfam by way of RNAcentral. Lineage: Eukaryota; Metazoa; Chordata; Mammalia; Monotremata; Ornithorhynchidae.